UUUUNNNCCACUUGGACGAGCUNGAUCACUAGNUACGGCCGCCAGNUGNUGCUGGAAUUCGCCNCUUCUCCGCGAUGAUCCGUGCAGGACCAUGACUGCUUAUCGGCAUUGUCUACGUAAUGCCAUGCAGAGUCAUCUGUAGUCAAUACUAGGCUGGAGCGGCUCUAUAUAACUUCGUAGUCCAGCUAACUCGCUGCACGCGUGAUCAGCUACGGGAAACGUGAGAAUAAACCGUGAUACAUCAUUAUGCCUGUGAAUGGUUUAUGGGCCUGACAGUUUACUGCCAUGGGAUGGGACUGCGGCCUAUCAGCUUGUUGCUGAGGUAGUGGGCCACCAGGGCUAUAACAGGUACGGGCUCUGAGAGGAGAAGCCCGGAGAUGGGUACUGAGACACGGACCCAGGCCCUAUGGGGCGCAUCAGGCCAGAUACCUUAGCUAUGUGCGAUAGCUCUACUGGCUCAGUCCGAGUGAUUCCUGAUAAAGGAGUCUUUUAUCUGUCCUAAAAGCACAGGUCGAUAAGGUGUGGGCAAGUCUGGUGUCAGCCGCCGCGUGAAUACCAGCACCUCGAGUGGUCAGGAGGCUUAUUGCUGCCUAAAGCAUCCGUAGCCGGCUACGCAAGUCUCCGGUUAACUCCAGCUGCUCAACAGAUGGCCUGCCGGAGAUACUACAUACCUAGGGAGCGGGAGAGGUCUCCGCUAUUCUUUGGGUAGGCGUAAAAUCCGCUGACCCAUCGAGGUUCCCCAGUGGAGAAGGCGCUGUGCCAGCACGCCUUUUACUGUGAGGGAUGUCAGUCGGGGGACCAACCCGGCUUAGCUCUCCGGGUAUUCCCAUCUGUUAUCGAGGCAAACUCGAUGAGGCUUUCACUUAUGCCCAAUGCACAUGCUGCAGGCAAGCCUUUAACUUUCCCGCCUGGGAAGUACGUACGCAAGUCUGAAACUUAACAGGAAUUGGCGGGUGAGCA
Molecule: ribosomal RNA, 960 nt
Filed under: uncultured archaeon
Lineage: Archaea
Description: bacterial SSU rRNA
Rfam family: Archaeal small subunit ribosomal RNA
Source: RNAcentral